Molecule: ribosomal RNA, 407 nt
Filed under: uncultured bacterium
Lineage: Bacteria
Description: partial 16S ribosomal RNA
Rfam family: Bacterial small subunit ribosomal RNA
Source: RNAcentral
AAUAUUGCGCAAUGGAGGGAACUCUGACGCAGCGACGCCGCGUGAGCGAUGAAGGUCUUCGGAUCGUAAAGCUCUGUCCUUGGGGAAGAAGGUCUUCGGACUUGACGGUACCCAAUGAGGAAGCCCCGGCUAACUACGUGCCAGCAGCCGCGGUAAUACGUAGGGGGCGAGCGUUGUCCGGAAUUACUGGGCGUAAAGGGUGCGUAGGCGGCCCUUUAAGUCAGAUGUGAAAGCCCACGGCUUAACCGUGGGACUGCAUUUGAAACUGGAGGGCUUGAGUGUCGGAGAGGGCAGUGGAAUUCCCAGUGUAGCGGUGGAAUGCGUAGAUAUUGGGAGGAACACCAGUGGCGAAGGCGACUGCCUGGACGAUAACUGACGCUGAGGCACGAAAGCUAGGGGAGCAAACA